CUGAUCUAUCGUCAUUUAAUUAGUUAUCCCCGCCAGAUGUCUACAGGUGUCACUUCUGACCCAGUAAACAGCACGGARUAGGGAUGAGAACGAAGCCGGUCUCCUUUCUUUCUCACUCCCUACACAGUUGUCGGCCAUCAUUAUUGUUUAUGCAUCAAGUGUAGUAGUAACGUUGACAAUUAUUAUUUUGCUAUCUCAGUGUAACUCUUAUAUUAACUUUUAAUCAUUCCUAUUUUAUCAAUWAUAAUUAAAUUAUCAAUUUUGAGUGUAUUUUKCACGAUUAGUUAAUCAAGUGAUUUUAUAACCUCAAAAGUACUCAACACGUGACACGAGCUUCCAAUAACAACGGAUUUUGUGUUUGAGCAAUGCCAAGAAAACGCAAAGGGGCUGAUUUGAGCCGCAGUACAAGUAAAGCUCGAAAGUUGCGAAAUAGCAGAUCCGAAAGAACAGAAGAACAAAUCCAGCAACAAAA
This is a long non-coding RNA of Polistes dominula (European paper wasp), 472 nucleotides long. The record is from RefSeq and is a predicted model, not a curated record. Lineage: Eukaryota; Metazoa; Arthropoda; Insecta; Hymenoptera; Vespidae.